Molecule: ribosomal RNA, 980 nt
Filed under: bacterium
Lineage: Bacteria
Description: partial 16S ribosomal RNA
Rfam family: Bacterial small subunit ribosomal RNA
Source: RNAcentral
CUUUAGAAAAAAAACCCCGGCUUAACUACUUUCCACCAACCCCGGUAAUACGUAAGGGGCCAAGCGUUUUUCCGAAAUUAUGGGGGGUAAAAGGUCGCAAGGGGGGUUUUUAAAUCAGAAGGGAAAAGCCUCCGGCUCACCCGUGGUGAGCUUUUGAAAAUUGGAGGACUUGAGGGCAGGAGAGGGGAGUGGAAUUCCUAUUGUAGCGGUGAAAUGCGUAGAUAUUUGGAGGAACUCCAGUAGCGAAGGGGGCUUUCUGGGCUGUAACUGACCCUGAGGCGCGAAAACGUGGGGAGCAAACAGGAUUAGAUACCCUGGUAGUSCCCCCCGUAAACGAUGAGUAGUAAGUGUCGGGGGUUUUUCCCCCCGUUGUGCCACCCUCACACUCAAUACUCCCCCUGGGAAGUGCGCUCGCAAGAGUGAAAUCAAAAAAAAUUUCGGGGGGGCGCACAAAUAGCGGGGCAUAUGUGUUAAUACGAAGCAACACGAAAAACCUUUCCUAAGCUUGUCAUCCCCCUURCCUCUUCCUAAUCGAGGAUUUCCCUUUGGGGACAGUGGUGACAGGUGGUGCAUGGUUGUCGUCAGCUCGUGUCGUGGGAUGUUGGGUUAAGUCCCGCAACGAGCGCAACCCUUACUUUUAGUUGCCAGCAUUAAGUUGGGCACUCUAGAGGGACUGCCGAGGAUAACUCGGAGGAAGGUGGGGAUGACGUCAAAUCAUCAUGCCCCUUAUGCUUAGGGCUUCACCCGUGCUUCAAUGGGUGGUUCAAAGGGUUGCCAAGCCGCGAGGGGGAGCUAAUCCCUUAAAACCAUUUUCAAUUCGGAUUGUAGGCUGGAACUCGCCUUCAAGAAGCGGAAUUUCUAGUAAUCGCAGAUCAGAAUUCUGCGGGGAAUCGUUCCCGGGUCUUGUCCCCCCCCCCGUCACGCCAGGAAAGUGGGGRCCCCGGAAGCGGGUAAGGUACCUUUUAAGGAGCCGAGCCGGC